RNAcentral lists this ribosomal RNA (1034 nucleotides) under Tolypocladium ophioglossoides. RNAcentral describes it as "SSU rRNA". It matches the Rfam family "Eukaryotic small subunit ribosomal RNA", at positions 102 to 1147 of the family's 1831-position model. The record is from RNAcentral. Lineage: Eukaryota; Fungi; Ascomycota; Sordariomycetes; Hypocreales; Ophiocordycipitaceae.
UAUAUAAGUUAUCGUUUAUUUGAUAGUACCUUACUACUUGGAUAACCGUGGUAAUUCUAGAGCUAAUACAUGCUAAAAAUCCCGACUUCGGAAGGGAUGUAUUUAUUAGAUUAAAAACCAAUGCCCUCUGGGCUCUCUGGUGAUUCAUGAUAACUUCUCGAAUCGCAUGGCCUUGCGCCGGCGAUGGUUCAUUCAAAUUUCUUCCCUAUCAACUUUCGAUGUUUGGGUAGUGGCCAAACAUGGUUGCAACGGGUAACGGAGGGUUAGGGCUCGACCCCGGAGAAGGAGCCUGAGAAACGGCUACUACAUCCAAGGAAGGCAGCAGGCGCGCAAAUUACCCAAUCCCGACACGGGGAGGUAGUGACAAUAAAUACUGAUACAGGGCUCUUUUGGGUCUUGUAAUUGGAAUGAGUACAAUUUAAAUCCCUUAACGAGGAACAAUUGGAGGGCAAGUCUGGUGCCAGCAGCCGCGGUAAUUCCAGCUCCAAUAGCGUAUAUUAAAGUUGUUGUGGUUAAAAAGCUCGUAGUUGAACCUUGGGCCUGGCUGGCCGGUCCGCCUCACCGCGUGUACUGGUCCGGCCGGGCCUUUCCCUCUGUGGAACCCCAUGCCCUUCACUGGGUGUGGCGGGGAAACAGGACUUUUACUUUGAAAAAAUUAGAGUGCUCCAGGCAGGCCUAUGCUCGAAUACAUUAGCAUGGAAUAAUGAAAUAGGACGUGCGGUUCUAUUUUGUUGGUUUCUAGGACCGCCGUAAUGAUUAAUAGGGACAGUCGGGGGCAUCAGUAUUCAAUUGUCAGAGGUGAAAUUCUUGGAUUUAUUGAAGACUAACUACUGCGAAAGCAUUUGCCAAGGAUGUUUUCAUUAAUCAGGAACGAAAGUUAGGGGAUCGAAGACGAUCAGAUACCGUCGUAGUCUUAACCAUAAACUAUGCCGACUAGGGAUCGGACGAUGUUAUUUUUUGACUCGUUCGGCACCUUACGAGAAAUCAAAGUGCUUGGGCUCCAGGGGGAGUAUGGUCGCAAGGCUGAAACUUAA